This 258-nucleotide ribosomal RNA is filed under the name Acinetobacter baumannii. RNAcentral's name for it is "partial 23S ribosomal RNA". It matches the Rfam family "Bacterial large subunit ribosomal RNA", at positions 2691 to 2925 of the family's 2925-position model. The record is from RNAcentral. Lineage: Bacteria; Pseudomonadati; Pseudomonadota; Gammaproteobacteria; Moraxellales; Moraxellaceae.
ACCAGAGUGGACGAACCUCUGGUGUACCGGUUGUGACGCCAGUCGCAUCGCCGGGUAGCUAUGUUCGGAAGGGAUAACCGCUGAAAGCAUCUAAGCGGGAAGCCUACCUCAAGAUAAGAUUUCCCUAGGACUUUAUGUCCUCUAAAGAGCCGUUCGAGACUAGGACGUUGAUAGGUUGGAUGUGGAAGCAUAGUGAUAUGUGAAGCUGACCAAUACUAAUUGCUCGUGAGGCUUGACUAUACAACACCCAAGCAGUUG